Molecule: ribosomal RNA, 252 nt
Filed under: uncultured bacterium
Lineage: Bacteria
Description: partial 16S ribosomal RNA
Rfam family: Bacterial small subunit ribosomal RNA
Source: RNAcentral
UACGUAGGUCCCGAGCGUUGUCCGGAUUUAUUGGGCGUAAAGCGAGCGCAGGUGGUUUAUUAAGUCUGGUGUAAAAGGCAGUGGCUCAACCAUUGUACGCAUUGGAAACUGGUAGACUUGAGUGCAGGAGAGGAGAGUGGAAUUCCAUGUGUAGCGGUGAAAUGCGUAGAUAUAUGGAGGAACACCGGUGGCGAAAGCGGCUCUCUGGCCUGUAACUGACACUGAGGCUCGAAAGCGUGGGGAGCAAAUAGG